GCCAACGGCCAUAGCCAACGUGAAACCCAGUUGCUGCGUCCGAUCACUGAAGUUAAGCCAACGUCGGGCGCGGUAGUACUUGAUGGGUGACCGCCUGGGAAAUCCUGGGUGCUGUUGGAU
Molecule: ribosomal RNA, 120 nt
Filed under: Orchesella cincta
Lineage: Eukaryota; Metazoa; Arthropoda; Collembola; Entomobryomorpha; Orchesellidae
Source: RNAcentral